This 495-nucleotide ribosomal RNA is filed under the name uncultured bacterium. RNAcentral's name for it is "partial 16S ribosomal RNA". It matches the Rfam family "Bacterial small subunit ribosomal RNA", at positions 30 to 507 of the family's 1533-position model. The record is from RNAcentral.
CGAACGCUGGCGGCGUGCCUAAUACAUGCAAGUUGAGCGAUGAAGAUUGGUGCCUGCACCAAUUUGAAGAGCAGCGAACGGGUGAGUAACGCGUGGGGAAUCUGCCUUUGAGCGGGGGACAACAUUUGGAAACGAAUGCUAAUACCGCAUAACAACUUUAAACAUAAGUUUUAAGUUUGAAAGAUGCAAUUGCAUCACUCAAAGAUGAUCCCGCGUUGUAUUAGCUAGUUGGUGAGGUAAAGGCUCACCAAGGUGAUGAUACAUAGCCGACCUGAGAGGGUGAUCGGCCACAUUGGGACUGAGACACGGCCCAAACUCCUACGGGAGGCAGCAGUAGGGAAUCUUCGGCAAUGGACGAAAGUCUGACCGAGCAACGCCGCGUGAGUGAAGAAGGUUUUCGGAUCGUAAAACUCUGUUGGUAGAGAAGAACGUUGGUGAGAGUGGAAAGCUCAUCAAGUGACGGUAACUACCCAGAAAGGGACGGCUAACUACGUG